GAGUUUGAUCCUGGCUCAGAUUGAACGCUGGCGGCAUGCCUUACACAUGCAAGUCGAACGGCAGCAUGGGUGCUUGCACCUGAUGGCGAGUGGCGAACGGGUGAGUAAUGCAUCGGAACGUACCCGGAAGUGGGGGAUAACGUAGCGAAAGUUACGCUAAUACCGCAUAUUCUGUGAGCAGGAAAGCAGGGGAUCGCAAGACCUUGCGCUUUCGGAGCGGCCGAUGUCGGAUUAGCUAGUUGGUGGGGUAAAGGCCUACCAAGGCGACGAUCCGUAGCGGGUCUGAGAGGAUGAUCCGCCACACUGGGACUGAGACACGGCCCAGACUCCUACGGGAGGCAGCAGUGGGGAAUUUUGGACAAUGGGCGCAAGCCUGAUCCAGCCAUGCCGCGUGAGUGAAGAAGGCCUUCGGGUUGUAAAGCUCUUUCGGCGGGGAAGAAAUGGCACGCUCUAACAUAGCGUGUUGAUGACGGUACCCGCAUAAGAAGCACCGGCUAACUACGUGCCAGCAGCCUCGGUAA
RNAcentral lists this ribosomal RNA (521 nucleotides) under uncultured beta proteobacterium. RNAcentral's name for it is "bacterial SSU rRNA". It matches the Rfam family "Bacterial small subunit ribosomal RNA", at positions 9 to 523 of the family's 1533-position model. The record is from RNAcentral. Lineage: Bacteria; Pseudomonadati; Pseudomonadota; Betaproteobacteria.